This is a non-coding RNA of Phalacrocorax carbo (great cormorant), 511 nucleotides long. The record is from RefSeq and is a predicted model, not a curated record. NCBI's taxonomy places the organism in Eukaryota, Metazoa, Chordata, Aves, Suliformes, Phalacrocoracidae.
CCUCCUCCUCCUCCUCCUCCUCCUUCUCCUCCUCCUCCUCCCCGGCGGAGGGGAUCACUGGCCGAAGUCCCCUGCUGAAGCCCCGCGGUGAAGUACUGAAAUCUGCAUUUUCCCCAAGAAGGCACACCUACCAGAGGCCCCGCCAAUGCCAUGCCGUAGCUCCGCUGUUCCUUUCACGCCAGCAUUCUGUAGCCAGGCUGAAGAAGCAGCCCCAGCUGAAAAGGACGGUUCAAAUGCAAAAGGAGCAACCCAAUCCCAGAAUCAAGGCUGGAGAGCCCAGGCCUGGACACAGCACUCGGGGCACCUCACCAGUGCUGGUCACUGCCCUGGACGUGCUGGCAAUACUUCUUCAUGCAGCCUCUUGGCUGCCUUUGCUGCUAGGGCACGUUCCUGGCCCGUGGUUGCGGUCUGCCAGGACCCCUAGGUCCUCUGCAAAACUGCUUUCCAGCUGGUCGGCCACAGCAGGUACCCCCGCACAGGGUUAUUUAUUUUACAAACCUGAAUGGUACAU